RNAcentral lists this transfer RNA (75 nucleotides) under uncultured Actinomycetes bacterium. Its description in RNAcentral is "uncultured actinobacterium tRNA-Leu". It matches the Rfam family "tRNA". From Rfam's summary of the family: Transfer RNA (tRNA) molecules are approximately 80 nucleotides in length. RNAcentral also lists the same sequence under 1 other name. Lineage: Bacteria; Bacillati; Actinomycetota; Actinomycetes. The record is from RNAcentral.
GCCCCCGUAGCCCAACUGGCAGAGGCACGCUGCUUAAACCAGCGCAAGUGCAGGUUCGAACCCUGCCGGGGGCAC